GUACUUGCCCAGAUUGCACAUUUGAUAACACUGGAACAAUAUAGGGAGAUUAGCAUGGCCCCUACACAAGGAUGACAUCCAAGUUCAUGAAGUGGUCCAUACAUUA
Molecule: small nuclear RNA, 106 nt
Filed under: Neotoma lepida (desert woodrat)
Lineage: Eukaryota; Metazoa; Chordata; Mammalia; Rodentia; Cricetidae
Source: RNAcentral